This is a long non-coding RNA of Bombus pascuorum, 451 nucleotides long. RefSeq lists it as uncharacterized. The transcript is spliced from 2 exons. The record is from RefSeq and is a predicted model, not a curated record. Lineage: Eukaryota; Metazoa; Arthropoda; Insecta; Hymenoptera; Apidae.
AACUUACCUGCGUAUGGGCCACACGGUGAUGCAUUGUCCUUUCCACUUUUGCCAUCCUUGCUGCCGCUUCCUGAAACAGCCAAGAACCAGUUCUGGUGUAAGAAAAUGGAAAACAUUGUUUUCUUUCGAAUUGCACGGCUGAGCGCAAUGGGAAACCACAGAUCACUACGCAAAAGCUAGCGAAAAAUAAAUGCAGUUAAAAAGUGUAACGUGGAAAAGAAGGAGAAACGUGCGUACGAAGGACAUAGGCGAAUACCAGGUCACUCGUAUAGCUACAUUUGCAGAUAAUCUUCAAGUACAGCGCGUGUUCCCCUUGAAAAUUCACCAAAUAAAAUCCAGCGGCUGCCGCAUGCCAGCGGCUAGCUUUGGAUGACAGGACGCGAGAUCUUUGCCAACAGCUUUAACUUUGUAAACGACGCGACGAUUGGAAAUAAAAUUGUUGGAAAGCCUG